ACAGAGAAAGCCGUUUAAAUUUUUCCCAUUUCAGCAGAAUUAUUUCCUUUGGAUUAGUUAAUUCAAGCUCCGAGCAUAACAUAUCAAAUAUCAAAUGCUAGUUUUCAACAACAAGUUCUUGCAUUUCAAGAAAAAGUUGUUAAAGCGAUGAGAGAUAUAUCAAAUAAUUUAUCUUUACCGACGACUUCAAUUGCUCAACAAACUCCAGUAUCUUUAUUUGAUAUUGAGUGGGUAAAAUCAAAAGAGGAGUUUUUUUUUUGAUUGAAGAAAAUAUGAAAGUGAAUUUAUUCUUAGAAGAAAAAAUUGUACAACUAAUGCAAAUAGGAGGGCUUGACUAUAAAGAUACAAUAAAGAACAUAACGAAGCGAUUUUUUUACGAUUUUGCCAUGCGUGAGUUGAACAUGAAUGGUACCAGAGGCCAAAAUAAAUUAGCUUUUGGCGGAACCGAGACCUACAAAACAAUUUACAAAGUAGUCAUGCUCAAGUUCCCAAAGAUGACGGAAAAAGAAUUUUAUCAAGUCGUUCAGAGCCUCCUUUGAAAUGCCCCUGCUCGAUCAAAAAAGAAAGCAGUCGUAUAAAAAAUGAUAACAGUAUUGUAUAUUUUAUUCAAGAUAAAGUUUCUUAUAUAAUAUGGUUAUUAAUCUUAAAUGUAAAAAAAAUACAAA
Molecule: non-coding RNA, 665 nt
Organism: Hydra vulgaris (swiftwater hydra)
Lineage: Eukaryota; Metazoa; Cnidaria; Hydrozoa; Anthoathecata; Hydridae
Source: RefSeq, a predicted model, not a curated record